UGGAGCGAGCACGCCAGCGCGAGUAUGGAGGACGCCUCUUAACGUUUGCUGAAUAUGGCGGCGUCCAGAGUCCGUUAUAGAGAAAGAGUUUGUUUAUAUAAUGGAUUACCUUGGUGGAUUUUCAUAUAUUGAACCAUCCCUGCAUUCCUGGAAUGAAGCCUACUUGAUCAUGGUGGAUGAAGUUUUUGAUGUGUUCCUAGACUUGGUUUAACCUCCUGGUGUCAACAUGAGUUCCAGCAUGGAGGACCGUGACUGUGUGGUUUGCUGUGAAGUAAGGAAUGGCAAAGCAGCUGUCAUCCCAGGCACAGGCCACAAGAGCCCCCAUCACCAUCAGCAAAGUCUGGUCUCAAGAGGGAAGCCAAGCAUGUGUCACACAAAAUAGGUCACACUCAAGUUUCCAAAGUCCCCUGGCUGUGCUUGUUAUCAGUUUGUCCUACUGGUGACAGCCGAAGGCACAGCUCAGAUGUCUCAUCUGCAAAAUGGGACACCUGCCCUGCAUUAAGAGAAUCACCCCAAACGUCCCUCCCCAGGGUGCAGCUCACCUCCUGCAGAUCCCAGGCACGCACCGUACAGUCUUUUAAGCCAAAGUCUGCCUCAGGAGUGCUUGCCGAGCAAGCACAGCCUUUGAUCUCCAACUCUCGUAACAAAAAGAAGAAAAAGGAAGACUUAAGUGUAUCUCGUGUGUACAGCAUUAAGCCGGACCAUUUCUCUCUGCCAGUUCUGUGGCUCCUUCCAAGGGAAAGCCCUUGGGUUGUGUAAUCGUGUUUUUCAUUAUUUUAAUGCUCUCUUGGAUUAAGCCCCAAUACUUCAUUACUGCCAUGUUUUGUGUUAAGCACGGUCUAAUAUACUGUUUCAAUUUCUUGGUC
This 866-nucleotide long non-coding RNA is filed under the name Rattus norvegicus (Norway rat). RNAcentral describes it as "long non-coding RNA NONRATT012326". Lineage: Eukaryota; Metazoa; Chordata; Mammalia; Rodentia; Muridae. The record is from RNAcentral.